This 497-nucleotide ribosomal RNA is filed under the name uncultured bacterium. RNAcentral's name for it is "partial 16S ribosomal RNA". It matches the Rfam family "Bacterial small subunit ribosomal RNA", at positions 28 to 507 of the family's 1533-position model. The record is from RNAcentral.
GAUGAACGCUGGCGGCGUGCCUAAUACAUGCAAGUCGAGCGAACAGACGAGGAGCUUGCUCCUCUGACGUUAGCGGCGGACGGGUGAGUAACACGUGGAUAACCUACCUAUAAGACUGGGAUAACUUCGGGAAACCGGAGCUAAUACCGGAUAAUCUAUUGAACCGCAUGGUUCAAUAGUGAAAGACGGUUUUGCUGUCACUUAUCGAUGGAUCCGCGCCGCAUUAGCUAGUUGGUAAGGUAACGGCUUACCAAGGCGACGAUGCGUAGCCGACCUGAGAGGGGGAUCGGCCACACUGGAACUGAGACACGGUCCAGACUCCUACGGGAGGCAGCAGUAGGGAAUCUUCCGCAAUGGGCGAAAGCCUGACGGAGCAACGCCGCGUGAGUGAUGAAGGUCUUCGGAUCGUAAAACUCUGUUAUUAGGGAAGAACAAAUGUGUAAGUAACUAUGCACGUCUUGACGGUACCUAAUCAGAAAGCCACGGCUAACUACGUG